RNAcentral lists this ribosomal RNA (604 nucleotides) under uncultured fungus. Its description in RNAcentral is "eukaryotic LSU rRNA". The stretch from base 252 to 409 matches the Rfam family "5.8S ribosomal RNA". Lineage: Eukaryota; Fungi. The record is from RNAcentral.
AAGUCGUAACAAGGUUCCGUAAGUCAAACGUACACUCAUGCGUAUCAGUAGUCGAAGGACCUGCGGAGGGAUCAUUACCGAGUGGAGGGCGCUCCUGGCGCCGACCUCCCAACCCUUUGAUUGAAUCAAAGACCUCACUGUCUGCCUCGGGGGCGACCCGGCCCGUCGGCGCCGGACCCCCCGACGGUACCCAAUCUCAAAACACUGCAUCAAUCUGUCGUCUGAGCAUUCGAAGCGUUAAUUCAGAUUAAAACUUUCAACAACGGAUCUCUUGGUUCUGGCAUCGAUGAAGAACGCAGCGAAAUGCGAUAAGUAAUGUGAAUUGCAGAAUUCAGUGAAUCAUCGAGUCUUUUGAACGCACACUUGCGCCCUUUGGUAUUCCGGAAGGGGCAUGCCUGUUCGAGCGUCAUUUACACCAAUCAAGCCUGGCUUGGUAUUGGGCGACGGGGCCGUCACACGCCCGGGCCUCCAAAGUCGCCGGCUGGAAAGCUCUGAAUCCUAAGCGUCGUGAAUCCAAAUCGCUACGGAGACGGGGCGUUCACGCCGUGAAACUUCCAUUCACAAGGUUGACCUCGGAUCGGGUAGGAAUACCCGCUGAACUUAA